RNAcentral lists this ribosomal RNA (440 nucleotides) under uncultured Alphaproteobacteria bacterium. RNAcentral describes it as "partial 16S ribosomal RNA". It matches the Rfam family "Bacterial small subunit ribosomal RNA", at positions 43 to 527 of the family's 1533-position model. Lineage: Bacteria; Pseudomonadati; Pseudomonadota; Alphaproteobacteria. The record is from RNAcentral.
CAGGCCUAACACAUGCCAAGUCGAACGCCCCGUCAAGGUGGAGUGGCAGACNGGUGANUAACACNCUGGGAACGUCCCCCUCGGUUCGNAAUAACUCAGGGAAACUUGGGCUAAUACCGGAUACGUCCGUAAGGAGAAAGAUUUAUCNCUGAANGAUCGGCCCGCGUCUGAUUANCUAGUUGGUGAGGUAAUGGCUCACCAANGNGACNAUCAGUAGNUGGUCUGAGAGGAUGAUCAGCCUCNCUGGGACUGAGACACGGCCCANACUCCUACGGGAGGCANCAGUGGGGAAUCUUGNACAAUGGGCGCAAGCCUGAUCCAGCCAUGCCGCGUGGGUGAUGAAGGCCCUAGGGUUGUAAANCCCUUUCNGCNGGGAAGAUAAUGACGGUACCCNNAGAAGAAGCCCCGGCUAACUUCGUGCCAGCNGCCGCNGUAAUACA